Molecule: long non-coding RNA, 4879 nt
Filed under: Triticum aestivum (bread wheat)
Lineage: Eukaryota; Viridiplantae; Streptophyta; Magnoliopsida; Poales; Poaceae
Description: long non-coding RNA (TAES_LNC019858)
Source: RNAcentral
GUUUUUUUUUUUGACGAGUCAACGGCGGGCUUACGCUGGCCUGAACCAUAUAUUACCGAGUGAGGGCCAAAUACAAGGGGUAGCAAGAGGUACAUGGGGGGAGACAGAGGAUAAAAGGAACAAAAAGAAAGACAAAAGAUUACAUAGAGGUUAUAAUCUCGCGGAGAGGUACAGCAACAUGGUUCCCCAGUCUUUGAGCAGGGAUUGUUUCUGAGCAUUCUUGCAGCGGUUGGACCAAAGAAGAACGUCUUCCGCCGCUGCCCUAGCGAUGCGAUGGAUGCCCCAGGUUUCAUUUCGGAAAACCUGAGCAUUGCAUCUUUUCCACGUGUUCCAAAGAAUGGCAAUGAUCACAGUAGAUCGGACUUUGUUGGUGAGAGCACCAAGCCAUAUAUCACAGCUGUAUACCAUGUGAUUUAGCUCAAUGAACACAGGAGGGCAUAGUUGGGCAUGCACCCAGCUAGACAGACACUAGACCAUGAGAUGUUCGUUUCAAAAAACAGGCAUAUGAAGGCUCUUCCAUGCCCAGGAUUAAAAAGCAAAAGAAAUAAAUAAUUAAAAGGAUACUCCCGACAGCCCUUCUGCACUGAGGAUCCAGAGCAGCAUCAAUCUCAUCAAACAGGUAGAACGGAGCUGGGUCACAUCGUUGGAUAGCGAAGAUCAGUGUUAAUGCCACCACUGUCUUCUGCCCUCCAGACAACUGCUUCAUGGACUGAGUUUCUCCCUUGCCAGUGAAGGAAACCUGAAACAUGACUAAGCAUGAGUCUCCAAACCUGAAACAGCCAUUAAUAAUUUUGAGGAAAGAUCAAACAGGGUGUCAUCACCAUAGUAAUUUAGGAAGAGUUUAAUAACUUGGUAACAGUUUUUUUCUUUUGACAGGACAGCUUGGAAAAUAGUAUCGGACCAUCAUCUGAAUUUCCAUGAUGAAUUUAGAAUAAUAUAUGCAUGAAUACAUAACAGAUCUCUGCAAAGAACACAUGCCUUGACUUUCGCACCAAUAUACUUCUCUAUACUCCCUUCAGGAUCUGGUUCACGAGGCGCGUCCUCAUCCAUGUCAUCAUCGCCAGCAUCACCAUCCUACAGAAAUGGAGUGAGUUAGGAACUAGAAGUGCAAGAAACAGGACCAAAGUUGGUGGGUAAAGCAAGGAAACCGAAACCUUUUUCUUCAUCAUAACCAAGUAUCCGCGGACACCUUGCACUAAUUAAGAGAACACUUCACGGAAGUGCCUUGCAACUCCUUUAAAUGUGUGUUCAAUUGAUUCAUCCUUCCCUUGGUCUAAAACUCAUAUCAACUCUCUAAUUUCUGCAUUACCAAUCAGCAGAUUUUAUGAGAUUCCAGUCUUAGGACAAUCAAAAGGGAAACAAGUUGUGCUGAUCAAAAAACUUGCCUCGAGCCUCGUCACCAGGAUCAAGUUCAGCCCGUCUUCUCCGCUGUUCAGUGAAGUUCAGGCACGACUAGUUGCUUCAAAUGCUCAGCGCAGUCAUAAAGCAGCUGCUGCUUGUUCUUUCUCUUGUACCUUUAUUAUUGGCCAGAAAAUAACUACAGCAUGGUUAACACUAUAAAAAAAGGUAUUGUGCAGCUGAGUUAGCCAGUUUAGCAAUGUAAAACAAAUGGAAACAUAGGUUUCAAAAGCAUCAGCAGGCAAUGAGUCCAAAUUUCGGAUUUUCUUCAUAUACUCAUCUUGCUUGACAAGAUACGAGCUCCUGCUGCUCAUCAACUGUUCCAAGUCCUUCGCCCCAUCUCGCACACUCUGCUCCAAAGUAGCUUCAAGAACCUGUGCUUCGAUGUACAUGAUACAAAACAAGUCGAUAGUAGCUAUACAAGUUAAAACCCAAGGAAACACUAUAACUGUAUAAAUUACCUUCAGAUCAUCCCUUUGUUUUUUUCUUUUGCAUUAACAACAUCGACAUUAGCUGCCAAAGGAUCAUUUAAGGGUGAAGGGGCAUCAUUUGAGGAUGUUGUCUCUAUGGUGAAAGAGGCAGUACCUGAUCUGUCCGGCCCUCUAGCUCUUUUCAUACUUUGUCAUUUUAAAUUUUGUUGAGGGAAUUUACCAUAAUGGCCAAUGUAGUGUAUUUUAGAACUUAACAAGAGUACAGUACAGUAGUUUGUCAUUUUAAAUUUUGCUGAGGAAAUUUAUCAUCUGAAGUUGACUUCAUAAACUUAAGAAAGGCACAUGUUUCUGUACUGUCAUGUUUUUUCUCUUCAACAGAGGCUGGCUUCACAUGUAUCCUGGUGCUAGUUGUGCAAAUUGCUAACCUGAAAAAUAUGAUGAAAUGUACACUACUGCUUACAAAGACUGAGACACCUUGGUUAUGUCCUGUCACUUCUCCAUCUGGCUUUGUGAAUCAUAAACAAAAGCAAUUCAGUUGACAUCGUUGAGGUUGAGCAUUUGUGAUUCUACUGAACCUGUUUGAGCAUAACCAGUUACAUGAUACGCUACUUGCUAAGUUGCAGUAAUAUUUACUAUUCAGGUAAGCAGUACUGGAGUUACUGGCACACGUGCAAACAUAAGUUUCAAGGUGGAAGCUCUUCUUGAGGAAAUCAAGCAGGUUUGCUUAGUCUUUUCUCUAUUGUUACUCAGUGAACUAGUUUUGGUCUGCUACCUUAUUGUGCAAUGCACAUCUUGUUCAACAAUGCUUAUAGAACAUUGUCUACUUAUUAUUAUAGGUCGCAGAUAAAGCUGUUGUUGUUGGCUUUGGAGUGUCAACUCCAGAGCAGGUGAAGCAGGUAAAUCAUAUAUAUCCAGCAACUCUCUUGCUAAGCAAAAUAUCUUGUUCUAUCCCCCUUCCUUUGUUUGCUCAAUCUUUGACAACCCUGUGGCUUCAAUUUUGUCUACAAUGCAGAUCGCGGGGUGAGGCGCAGAUGGUGUGAUCGUCGGGAGCGCACUGAUGAGGCAGUUGGGUGAAUCUGGUUCUCCUGAAGAAGGAUUAAAGAAGCUAGAACAAUUGGCCAAGAACCUAAAGCCGCAUUUCCAUAAAAACAUGCAGUUUUGUGGGGGGCGGCACAUAAAUAUCAUGUUUUUUUGGUUCUGUUUUAAAAGUGUAGCAUUACAAUCUUGGCUUCGGAUUUCGAAGGAUCCUCUUGUGUGAUAGAAUAAAUUGUAUCGAUGUGUUGAAUGCUCAGGUCAAUAAAUUGAGGUUAGUGUUAUAAAUGAUGCAAAAGAUCAUCACUUUGUCCCAAUGCCAUGACAAUGGUUUCCUUGGUUUUUAUUUAUUUUAAAACAGCAUUCCUCAGUGUUUACAAAUGGCUUCAACACGAGCGUGCUAAAAUGUACAUAUAUGGUGUGAAUAAAUGGAGAAAUGACCCUGCAUGCCAUGCUUGCAUCAUACUAUUACAUUGAAUACAUUCUGGUAAUAUACCUGCCGUUUCUUUAUUUUGCUAUAAAUGUUUGAACAUGCGGCUGCAGGAGAGACCUCGCCACUAAAUUUCGUUGAAGUUAUAAACACUUACUAGGUCAAGCAAGAACUGUCAUGUUGAAGUCACUUCCUGGAUGAUAGCAUAUGACAGUGGUAUGACAGUCUAGUCAGGAGUUACUUGCAGAACUAAAAUGACCAUGGACAAUUUACUCAGAACAAGGACACUGUAGGGUGUUAAGAGUGCUGGUGAUGAACAAUGAACCUGUGUGGCAUUACAUAACCAAUCUUCACUACGAACAGUGGUAUCACUGGAUGAGUUGUGCUAUUAUCUUCCCCUAAAAAGCAAAUAAAAUACAAUUCUGUUCUCAGACUGGCAUGCACUGCUAUUAUUUGACACCAUGCAAACAGAUUUCGCUGAAGGAAUCUCCCAGUCUGUAUGUACAAGAACUUAAACAAGUUGAUGCAGGAUUCCAAGGUAUUUAAUGACGACAAAAGGAGAUAUCCAUUUCAAAUAGCAUAUGAGAGCACACUGCUUUCAAAAGCAUCAAAAAAGGAUGACGUGAAUAAUUUAAACAACCAAUGAAAAUAAUAAUCAAUUUGCUGGUCAAGCUAAACCUCUCAUAUGGACAUGAACUCCAAUCUCAAAAGGAAACCAAAGAUCUUUCUUUUUAUUGAAGUUUGCAUUCAAAUUUAUUUCCAUAGUUUACGUCACAAACAACAAAGUAUAUAUUUUUUAUAUGCAUUCUUAUUCAUGUUGUUAUCCCUAUUCGAUGACAAGCAUACCAUUACACAGUAACUGUAUCAAAGUUUACAAAUGCUCCUAAGUAUAUUAAAAAAAAUCCGCGGGACAUGCUCCUGAUUCGUGAACUACAUACAAAGCUACUGCAUAUGACAGUGGUAUGACAGUAUAUUCAGGAAUUUGUCGCAGAACUAUACUGACCAUGGACAGUUUACUCAGAACAAGGCCACUAUGGGGCAAGGGUGAUGGUGACGAACAUUGAACAUGUGUGGCAUUACAUGACCAAUCUUCACUACAAAUAGUGGUAUCACUGAAUGAGUUGUGCACCUAUUUGGUAUUCUUUGACACCAUGCAGGCAUAUUUUGCAGGGGAUCUCCCAGUGUGUAUAUAUGUACACCAAUUUAGACAAGUUGAUUCAAGAUUCCAAGGUAUUAAAUUACUACUCCCUCUGUCUCCUUUGUACUCCCUCUGUCUUACAUUUUGCGACAGAGGGAGUACAAAGGAGACAUCCAUUUCAAACAACAUAUGACAGGAUACUACUCUCAGAUGCAUCAAAAUAGGGUGACAUCAAUGAUUUAACUGUGAUGGAUCACAAGUUACAGUUACUUGAACUAAAUAAAUGGAUAGUGAUGGAUAACAAGUUACAGUUACUUGAAAUAAACAAAUGGAUAGAAAGAGGAUUUAUCCAAUCCACCACCCUAAAUCAAGGAAAUCUGGGCCAUACCAACAUCUGAUUCUCAUAAAGUCACUGGAGCCAUGCCUGCUCAGCAAACAUGAAGCUGCUCC